RNAcentral lists this ribosomal RNA (374 nucleotides) under Escherichia coli. RNAcentral's name for it is "bacterial LSU rRNA". It matches the Rfam family "Bacterial large subunit ribosomal RNA", at positions 1497 to 1878 of the family's 2925-position model. Lineage: Bacteria; Pseudomonadati; Pseudomonadota; Gammaproteobacteria; Enterobacterales; Enterobacteriaceae. The record is from RNAcentral.
AUUGGAAGAGUCCGGCUAAGCAGUGAGGUGUAAGAUGAGUCAAAUGCUUAUCUUUAUAACAUUGAGCUGUGAUGGGGAGCGAAUUUUAGUAGCGAAGUUAGUGAUGUCACACUGCCAAGAAAAGCUUCUAGCGUUUAAUGAUACUCUACCCGUACCGCAAACCGACACAGGUAGUCGAGGCGAGUAGCCUCAGGUGAUCGAGAGAACUCUCGUUAAGGAACUCGGCAAAAUGACCCCGUAACUUCGGGAGAAGGGGUGCUGACUUAGGUCAGCCGCAGUGAAUAGGCCCAAGCAACUGUUUAUCAAAAACACAGCUCUCUGCUAAAUCGUAAGAUGAUGUAUAGGGGGUGACGCCUGCCUGGUGCUGGAAGGUU